This 448-nucleotide ribosomal RNA is filed under the name uncultured bacterium. RNAcentral describes it as "SSU rRNA". It matches the Rfam family "Bacterial small subunit ribosomal RNA", at positions 26 to 518 of the family's 1533-position model. The record is from RNAcentral.
AGAACGAACGCUGGCGGCAGGCUUAACACAUGCAAGUCGAACGAAUGCAGCAAUGCAUUAGUGGCGCACGGGUGAGUAACGCGUGGAUAUCUGCCUUUUGGUUCGGGAUAACCUUGGGAAACUAGGGCUAAUACCGAAUGGUUCCUACGGGAUAAAGAUUUAUCGCCAAAAGAUGAGUCCGCGUACGAUUAGCUAGUUGGUGAGGUAAUGGCUCACCAAGGCGACGAUCGUUAGCUGGUCUGAGAGGACGAUCAGCCACACUGGGACUGAGACACGGCCCAGACUCCUACGGGAGGCAGCAGUGGGGAAUAUUGGACAAUGGGGGCAACCCUGAUCCAGCCAUGCCGCGUGAGUGAUGAAGGCCUUCGGGUUGUAAAGCUCUUUUGGCGGGGACGAUGAUGACGGUACCCGCAGAAUAAGCCCCGGCUAACUUCGUGCCAGCAGCCGC